Taeniopygia guttata (zebra finch) is the source of this 5232-nucleotide non-coding RNA. The record is from RefSeq and is a predicted model, not a curated record. Lineage: Eukaryota; Metazoa; Chordata; Aves; Passeriformes; Estrildidae.
UUUAAGGAGAGGAGGAUUCCCGUUUCCAUCGCGCCUUUCCUUAAGGAAAGGAGGAUUCCCAGCUCCAUCGUGGUUUUCCUUAAUGGGAGGAGGAUUCCCAGCUCCAUUUGCCCUUCCUUAAAGAGAGAAGGGUUCCCAUCUCCAUCGUGCCCUUAAGGAGAGGAGGAUUCCCAGUUCCAUCGCGCCUUUCCUUAAAGAAAGGAGGAUUCCCGGCUCCAUCGUGCCUUUCUUUAAGGAAAGGAGGAUUCCCAGCUCCAUUUGCCCUUCCUUAAAGAGAGAAAGGUUCCCAUCUCCAUCGUGCCCUUAAGGAGAGGAGGAUUCCCAGCUCAGCUCCAUCGUGCUUUUCCUUAAGGAAAGGAGGAUUCCCAGUUCCAUUUGCCCUUCCUUAAGGAGAGAAAGGUUCCCAUCUCCAUCGUGCCCUUAAGGAGAGGAGGAUUCCCAGCUCAGCUCCAUCGUGCUUUUCCUUAAGGAAAGGAGGCUUCCCAGUUCCAUCGUGCUUUUUCUUAAGGAGAGGAGGAUUCCCAGCUCCAUUUGCCCUUCCUUAAAGAGAGAAAGGUUCCCAUCUCCAUCGUGCCCUUAAGGAAAGGAGGAUUCCCAGUUCCAUCGCGCCUUUCCUUAAGGAAAGGAGGAUUCCCCGCUCCAUCCCUCCCUUCCCUGGGGGGGAUUACCGCCUCCAUCCCGCCCGUCUCUGGCAAGCAAAGGGUUACCUCUCCAUCGCUCUUUUCCCCAGGAAAAAGACGAUUUACCGGUUCCAUCCCGCCCUUCGGCGGGGAGCAGAGCCUUUAGCGGCUCCAUCCCGCCCUUCACAGGGUAAAGGAGCGUUCCCGGCUCCAUCCCGAGCUCCUGGCAGGCUCGGAUGUGUAGGAACCAUCUGGUUUUGAGAUUUUUCUAACUCACCAGCGACACGUUGGCUUUUCCAAGUGCUUGAUCCCAAGGCCUGAGCGGCUGGAAAAGUCACGGUGCUUUUUUGGAAACACGUGGGUGCCUUUCAGGAGUGGGGUUUGGGAAUAAAAGCAGCAUGGAUGGGUGAUGAUCUUUGUCUGGAGGGGCUGGAGGAAUCUCGGUCCUGCUUUGGAACAGCUGCAAGGCUGAAAUUUAGCUUUGUAAGGGGAGAAAAAGACGUUUGUGCUCUGCUCUUGCACAAUUCUAAUCCCAGAUUGUCCUCAAAUUAUCCCACAGAGGUUUGGAUUGCAGCAGAGCUUGCCCAGCUCUAGGAUAAUCUGGGAUAGAUGAAGCAAGCAGCAGGUUGGAUGGCACAAAAAUAAUUGUAAAUCAUAAAUUGCUCCAUAGAAACCAUUUUUUUUUCAUACAAAAACGUGCAUUCUCUGAUGAUCCAGAAUGGUGCAGGAGGUGCUCUGCUAUUUUUUUGGGCUACUCAGGUCAGAACAUAAAAUUAAUGGAUUUACCCCAAGUCUUUGAUAAAAUGGAUAUUUCUUAGUGCAGCUUCAAACUCAUUUUGGUUUUUAUAAAACGUGGGGUUUUGCUGUGGUCCAGUCUGGAAAUCACUGCUCUGCUCUAGAAGGAAUUUUUUAUGUAAGCUCUGUUCUGAAGUGUCUGAUUUCACAGAAAUUGUUGUUUUCCAGCAAAAAAAAAAAAUGUUUAUCAGAGCAUUUCAGAAACUCUUAUCUCCUCUGGUAAGGAUUUUGAUUAAUUACAGUUAAUUGCCUUGCACCAGAGGCUGUUAGGUGGCUCUGAAAUUUGUUUUAGGCAUAAUUUGCUUUAUUUCUUUUUAGUGUUCCUCUUAAACCUGCAGUUUUUGACAACAGCAGAGCCAGCUUGAAUAUUCCCCAUUCCCAGAUCUUCACCCACAAUAUUCCUUAAAAUCCCACCUUGGGAUUUUCUUUCCCAAAGUGACCAACUCCUUGUUUUUGCUUAGAAUCCCUUUGAGACCAGAAAGUGAAAUGUUGAUUUUUCUGGGGGGAUAAAUUCUGGUUUUUGCCCAAUCUGGAAUGUUUUUUUGGUGGUGAAACCCCAAUAAUUCUGAGGGAAUCUUUGGAUUUGAGUGCUUAGCUUUGGUUGUUUUUAUUGGGAAACCCUAGAAUUUUCCAGGGAGAAAAUUCCAACUUCUCAUCCAGCUUGACUGCCCAAGGAGGUUUUGGGGUUUUUUUUUUCCCUUAAUUUUUCCAUCUGAUGGUACAGCAAGAGAGGCUCCAUCAUUUCUCCACCAGGCUGAAUUUUUCCAGCUUUUCCCUUCUGGAUUAAACAUUCCCUUUGGAAUUCUUUUGCUGGAGCCAAACAAAAGAACAAAAGGAGCAAAAUUCCAGGUGGGAAUUUGGAAACACCCGGAUUUGCUGCAAUUUCUGAUGACACAGUUAGGUUUUUUUUUUGUUUUGUUUUAUUUUGCUUUUUAAAAAACAUAAUGCAGGAACAUCAUUCUCCCUUCCCAUGAGGAAACUGCUAAAAUUCCCUGCCCAUCCAGUGGGAUUUGGAUUUUGCUGGGAGAUCAAAUCAGAGCUCUUUGAAGGUUGCAGAGUGUCCUGAAAAGAUGCCAGGAAUUCCCUGCAGCACCUAAACCCCAUCCAAAUAAAUCCUGUCAGGCCCUAAAAAACAUCCUGCAGCCUCCAUAUCCUCAUUCCUUUUCCAUGGAGAAAUCUUCCCUAAAAUCCAACCCAAACCUCCCCUGGCACAGCUGGAGGGAUGAAAAAUCGGAUCAGGGAAUGCUGAGCUGUUCCAGAGCAUGGAAUUCCCAGCUGGAAUCAGCCCUGGGUGAUUGAGAAAAUAAUAUUGGGGGAAAAAAAUUGGGGAAAAAAAAUUGGAAAUCCAGUCCAGCACCUGGUUUUGCUUAGGAACAACCACCUUGGCUCACUGAGUUAAAAACAACAAAAGAAAUGAUCCCACCCCAAACCAGGAUGUAAUUCCCAAGUUUAGGGCCAGGGAGGAUUAAUUCAGGAAUGUAGAGCUGCAUCCUGAAAACUCCAUUUCCUGAGGAAAAGCUGGAAUUGUUGCAUUUGUGGGUUGUUUUUAUUCCUCAUUGCAGCAUCCUGGGGCAAGACCUCCAGGAAACACAGGGAAACAUCGGCCCAGUUUAUUCCAGAGGUUUGGUUCUGUGGGGAAAAGCUGGGAGAGGGGAAUUCCAGAGUUGGAAAAACCCUGGGAAUUCCAAUCCAGCCGUUCCCACCCCUGCCAAGGCCACCGCUGCUGUCCCCAGUGUCACUUCCAGCUUUUAAAUCCCUCCAGUGCCCUGGGCAACCUCUUUUUAGGGGGGAAAUAUUCCCUCAUAUCCAGUUUUUCCUAAAAUUUCUGUUGCUACCAUUCCACUCAGCAAACAGCUCCCAGGAGUGGGAUCAGCUGGAGAAGGAAAAUCCCUGGAUCUCAGCUGGAAAAGGAAAAAAAAAAACCCCUCUGGAUCAGCCAAGGGGAAACUCUGUUUUUUCUGGGAGAUCUCCCACAGGGAAAGAAGGGAAUUGGGAUAAGAGGAAUUAAACGCCAAAAGAAUUUGGGAAAGAUGAUCCCAAGGAAUCUCUGGAAGAACCAAACUGCUUUUUGGGGUACUCAUGGUAGGAUAAAAAGCUCCUGGAUUUCUCCCAAAUUUUGGUGUAAAUUCGCAGUGGGAUGUGGUGGUGCCAGAGCUGAUCCUGCUGCUGAUUCCCAAUAUUCCAGUUCAUUCCAAGCUUGGGAUCAAGCCAAGAUAAUUGUUAGGGCGUGGGAUUUUGAGGAUUUGACAGCAUCCAAAUGUCUGCAGUGAAUGCUACUCACACUUCAAGGUUAAAAAAUUUAAAAAAAAAUAAAAUAAGUGAAAUUCUGCAUUUCCAAAGCCUGGAGUUUUCCUGCUGGGCUGGGCAAACUCCCUUGGAAGUUGCUGAGUGCUGAGGCAGAGAUCCCAGAAAAAGGGAUGAGCCGAAGGAAAAUCCUGGAUUUUGGAAGUCCAUGGCCUGAGCUGAGCCAGGGGAGGUUUGGACUGGAUUUUGGGGAAUAUUUCCCCAUGGAAAAGGUGAUCAGGCAUUGGAGCUGCCCAGGUGGAGUCCCCAUUCCUGGGGGGAUUUAAAGCCUGUGGAUGUGCCCAUUCCUGUGCCACCCGUGCUGUCUGAUCCCAUUCCUGGAGGUUUUCCCAAUGGAUCUGGUGCCAUUCCCAAGUUUCUCCUUCCCUCAAAGCCAUUCCCAAGUUUUUCUCAAUUUCCCAGAGUGCCAAUCCCAAGUUUCUCCUUCUUUCCUUCUCCUUCUUCCCAAGUUUUUCCUUCUAUUCUUUCUCUUGACUUUUCCCCACGUAUCCAGUGUCAUUCCCAAGUUUUCCCCAGCGCCAUUCCCAAGGUUCCCAUUCCCAGAGUGCCAUUUCCAAGUUGGUCCUUCUCCGAGUUUUUCACCGUGGAUCCAGUGCCAUUCCCAAAUUUCUCAAUUUCCCUGAGUGUCAUUCCCAAAUUUCUCAUUCCCUGACUUUUAUCCACAGAUCCAGAACCAUUCCCAAGUUUCACCCUAUGGAUCCAGUGCCAUUCCCAAGUUUCCCAUUCCCAAGUUUCCCUCAUGGAUCUGGUGCCAUUCCCGAGUUUCACCCCAUGAAUCUGAUGCCAUUCCCAAAUUUCCCCCAUGGAUCCAGCACAAUUCCCAAGUUUCCCAUUCCCAAGUUUCCCCCACGGAUCCGGUGCCAUUCCCACAUUUUUCACUUUCACUUUCCCUUCUGCCGUGGCCACUUUCACUUUCACCUUCUGCUCCUGCCCUGGCAUGUGCCAGGAUUUGGGAUUUUUUUUUUCCUGGGAAUUUUUUUCCUUAGGGUUGGGAUCCAUCUUCCCUAAAUCCAGGAGGGAAUUGAGGGCUGCAGCCACUUGGGCUCAGUUCCCUCUCAUUAAUUAAUUUAUUAAUUAUUUUUAAAUUAUUUUUAUCCCCUGUCUGGAUUUUUAUUUUGAAGCUGCAUUUAGGGAGAAAAUAUUGGAGCGGUCACCUGCAAAAUUCCCAGAUUUUGUGUUGUAUUCCUAAGAGUUUUCAAUACUUUUUUUUUUUUUACCUUUGUCUCUGAAAAUAUCUGAUAUUUUCCAGAAAAAGUUGUUUAAUAAAGAAUUAAAUAAUUAUGCAUAUAAAUGAUAAUAUAAAUUAAUGAUAUAAUUAGUUAAUUUUAACUAGCUAGUUAUAUAUGUGACAUUUAAAGUUAAUGGUACAAUUAUAUUAACUGAUUUUUAUACUUUCGUAAUUUAAUAAUAAUUUAUUAAUUUACAAUUCACGACUUUAUAAAUGAUUUUGCUUCUGGCAAUUGCUGCAGAUUUUUUUUGGGAUGAACCCGGAGCUCAGAUCCCUUUUUCCAAA